This 491-nucleotide ribosomal RNA is filed under the name uncultured bacterium. Its description in RNAcentral is "partial 16S ribosomal RNA". It matches the Rfam family "Bacterial small subunit ribosomal RNA", at positions 29 to 507 of the family's 1533-position model. The record is from RNAcentral.
GUGAACGCUGGCGGUAGGCCUAACACAUGCAAGUCGCACGGCAGCACAGUAAGAGCUUGCUCUUACGGGUGGCGAGUGGCGGACGGGUGAGGAAUACAUCGGAAUCUACUUUUUCGUGGGGGAUAACGUAGGGAAACUUACGCUAAUACCGCAUACGACCUACGGGUGAAAGCAGGGGAUCUUCGGACCUUGCGCGAUUGAAUGAGCCGAUGUCGGAUUAGCUAGUUGGCGGGGUAAAGGCCCACCAAGGCGACGAUCCGUAGCUGGUCUGAGAGGAUGAUCAGCCACACUGGAACUGAGACACGGUCCAGACUCCUACGGGAGGCAGCAGUGGGGAAUAUUGGACAAUGGGCGCAAGCCUGAUCCAGCCAUACCGCGUGGGUGAAGAAGGCCUUCGGGUUGUAAAGCCCUUUUGUUGGGAAAGAAAAGCAGCAGGUUAAUAACCCGCUGUUCUGACGGUACCCAAAGAAUAAGCACCGGCUAACUUCGUG